This 246-nucleotide ribosomal RNA is filed under the name uncultured bacterium. RNAcentral's name for it is "partial 16S ribosomal RNA". It matches the Rfam family "Bacterial small subunit ribosomal RNA", at positions 527 to 772 of the family's 1533-position model. The record is from RNAcentral.
GUAGGUGGCGAGCGUUGUCCGGAAUUACUGGGUGUAAAGGGAGUGUAGGCGGGAAGGCAAGUCAGAAGUGAAAAUUAUGGGCUCAACCCAUAACCUGCUUUUGAAACUGUUUUUCUUGAGUGAAGCAGAGGCAAGCGGAAUUCCUAGUGUAGCGGUGAAAUGCGUAGAUAUUAGGAGGAACACCAGUGGCGAAGGCGGCUUGCUGGGCUUUUACCGACGCUGAGGCUCGAAAGCGUGGGGAGCAAA